GCAAAGAUGACCUGUUGUUGAAUAUCUUUGGCCUGUAGUGCAAAGAUGAACUGUUGAUGAAUAUCUUUGGCCCGUAGUGCAAAGAUAAAUUUAUUAGUAUGAUUAUGAACAGGAACUGUGAUUUGGUAUAACCAUGAUCUUUGAUGUUUCAGGUAAAGACAAGUGAUGAAAAUUAUCUUCGUCCUGAAUGAGAAAAGGAAUUUAGAACAACAAUUACG
This 218-nucleotide long non-coding RNA is filed under the name Panax ginseng (ginseng). RNAcentral's name for it is "long non-coding RNA (PGIN_LNC002378)". The record is from RNAcentral. Lineage: Eukaryota; Viridiplantae; Streptophyta; Magnoliopsida; Apiales; Araliaceae.